AAAUGGCCUCCUUCAAAGAGAUCAUCUCAACACUCCCAAGAAGAAAAGGCUGGACUGACUCAAAUAACGACCUUUUUUUGUAUCGAGGCUUCUGGUGUUACUCGUUUUUCAUUGAAGGAGUGAUGUCGGCUCAACAAAAUUUUCAAUCUCAACCUUCCGAUAUCGUCAUAUGCAGUGCACCGAAAACUGGAACAACAUGGUUAAAGUCCCUCACUUUCGCCAUUGUCACAAGAACCACCUUCGAUGAUUCCACUAGCCCUUUACUUGCCAAUCUAUCACAUGAUUGUGUACCCUUUUUAGAGGUUGAUUUAGCCCAAUCUUCUACCAAUCGAGACCCUAAAAAUCCUUUGUUAGCCACACAUGUCCCUUACUCUUCUUUACCAAGAUCAAUAAUUGAUUCCAGUUGUAAAAUUGUUUACAUUUGUAGGAACCCUAAGGAUUCAUUCGUUUCGUUUUAUCACUUCAUUGCUAGGCUCUCGGCAUCCAAAGACAUGAAGCCCGUUGCUUUAGAAGAGGCCUUUGAGCUUUAUUGCCAAGGUGUAAGCAAUUAUGGACCUUAUUGGGACCACGUUCUAGGGUUCUGGAAAGCAAGUUUGGACCGACCUGAUAAGAUUUUUUUCUUGAAAUACGAAGAAAUGAUAGAAGAUACUGUUUUAUACAUUAAGAAAUUAGCUGAUUUCAUCGGUUAUCCUUUCUCUUCUGAAGAAAUCAAAAAAGGGUCAGUCGACAAGAUCGUAAGCAUGUGUAGUUUCGAGAACUUAAGCAAUUUGGAAGUGAAUAAAAGUGGCAAACAUCGUGAAGGAACUCCAGGGGUGAUUGAAAACAAGAUCUAUUUCCGAAAAGGUAAGGUUGGGGAUUGGGAGAAUUAUUUGACACCUGAAAUGGCUGCUCAGUUGGACUCGAUAACGUUACAGAAGCUAAAUGGUUCAGGCUUAACUCUGUGAUUGAAUCAUAAAGCAACCAUGGGGUACAUUGUCCCUUCUCUGCAAUUUCGACAUAUUGUGUUUCUAAAAAUAAUUUGCGUAUGCUUUUUGCAAGUAGCAACACUUCUCGUGUUGCUCAUGUUAAGAUCAAUAAAAAGUAUAGUUGGUUCAAUUGAAAUCGAUUCAAUUAAUAUAAUUUGAUAUAAGUGAUUUGAUUUUGUUAUUUUAAUUUUUAUGGAUAUACUACACCAACUGUCCUAAGCUUUGUAUCAAAAUUACAUUUCGGUUACCCAACUUUUAAAAUUUAUAUCAUAGUCACUAACAUUAUCAAAUUGUUACAUUUUUGUCACUCGACUACUGUUAACUUCUGUUAAAGAAGUAACGUUGCACCUUAAUUCAGAAGGUUAAUAGUUAAUUUGGUACCUGAACUAUAGUUAAAAAAUUAUUUUCAUAUUUAAAUUUUUUUUUACAAUAAUUGUAAAAAAGUAAAAAAAAGUCUUAAAAAUAAAAUUCAUAUAAACAAGAAACAACUAAGAAUUUUGCUACUGUCUUUGCUCUCUCUCUCUUUUUUUUUUUUCUCUUUUUUCAUGCAAGUCAACGUUGGCUCCGCUCUUCCCUAAUCUUUAAAAAUAAUAUAUAUAUAGGUUUUAUUUAUAGCUAAAAGUAAAAUAUUGACUUGAAAUUUGAGAGAAGAAAGGUGGGUUUGGAGAAGAAGAAUAGCACUUUGUAUUAUAAAUUUAAAAACGAAAACCCAAUCAGUGUAACACCCCAAACCCAACCUAGACAUUAUGGCUGAAUCUUGAAGGUUACAUUAACUUCUUGAGAAUUUAGAUUGUUAUUUUCUGAAAUGUCAACUUGUUUUUCUGUAAAAGUAAAUUCUUAUAAAAAAACACGUUUUCACUUAUUAGUUGCAAAAAAAAAAAAAAUCCAUUCUACAAUAAGGGUUUCUUUAAAACAUUUGUUCUUUAGUACUAAAUUGAAAUAAUAGACCUAUAGUGAACUCGCUUAUUUUUCAGAAAAUUAGAUUUCUCAUUUUGUUUUGCAGUGGAAAAACUUUUACUUGUAUAAUUUUGAAAAUCGAACAUUUUUUUUAAUUAACAGAAAUCAUGUAGAAAAUUUAAACUAAUUAACUAAAAACUGAACAAAACCCAAAUCCAAAAUAAAAGUUCAAAAAUUAGUUCGACAGUCCAAAAGUCCAUAAAUUUUAAUUAAUAAUUAUUUAAAAUGAUCUUAUGCAAGAAAACUAAUACGAGCUCCCGAGUGCCGCCCAAUCCUAAUCCCGUGGGUUACCUGAAAUAUUAAGCAAGUGGGUGAGCUAAAAAGCUCAGUGUGUGCCUUACUCUACCCGUAAACAUGGACAAAUAACUCUACCAGUAAACAAUUCUACUAGUUGAAACAUGGAAAACACAACAAACAUAAUUUUGACCAACAUAAAGCCCACCAAUUUAAAUGACCCAAUCACCCUUCAAAAACCUAUCAAUACCUUCAUCUACUUAGCUUAAAAUUAGAUCAUCUAAAUUCCAAAUUAAGGCCACUCAAUGCAUAAGGUUGAUUUUAAAGGAGUUUUAUAGAUGUGAUUUAAAAGCACUAAAAUCACAUGGAUGAAUUACAAAAAUUUUACUGUGUACUCGUGAAAUAAAGUAACUUUAUUUACAUAGACCAAUUUUUAUUAAAAUAUUUGCACUCAUAUCCCUUUUUGGUUUAUUUGAUUAUUGUUAUAAAAAAAUUGAAUCGAUUUAGUGCACACUUUAUUUUUUUUUCACCUUCUAUUUUUUUUCAUGAUCUUAUUGAUUCGACCAUAAAAUUUUUUUAUGAUAUGGAAUAAAAUUCUAAUCUAUUAGAUGUGAAUUGCUCUAAUCUAAGCAUAAUUAUUGUACAAUUUUGUUAAAAAAAUACUUUAUUUUAUGAAACUAUAUAUUUUGAAAUAAUUAUGAAUAUAUUAAUAUUAGUCUGUUGAUGUGAACAAUUAUUUUUAAAACUUUUAUAAGAUUUUUUAUUUUUUAAUUUUAAAAAGUACACACGUUCUUUUAUUUGAGUUAUCAUGUUACUUUCAUUAAAAUAGUACAAUUAAUUUUUGUGUAAAAUUUAAAAAUGCACUUCACCUUUUAAAAAUAAAAAAAUGCAUAGGACAGCACUAACUACAUUUAUUUAUUAAUUUAGUUCCUGUAAUUCUACUCGAAUUCAAGAAAUCACGUGGUGGACAUAAUAAAAAACUGAUAUUAAAAGCAAAUAAUUCUCCACACUAAGAUCACAUGGUUGAAUUAAAAAAAGUUGAUUGCGUAAUUGUGAAAGAACUUACCUUUUCUCUAAAGCUAUUUAUAGAUCCAAUUUUUGUCAAAAUACUUGCACUCAUUUCUCCUUUUGUUUUUCCUUUAUCAAAAUGGCCUCCUUCAAAGAGAUCAUCUCAACACUCCCAAGAAGAAAAGGCUGGACUGACUCAAAUAACGACCUUUUUUUGUAUCAAGGCUUCUGGUGUUACUCGUUUUUCAUUGAAGGAGUGAUGUCGGCUCAACAAAAUUUUCAAUCCCAACCUUCCGAUAUCGUCAUAUGCAGUGCACCGAAAACUGGAACAACAUGGUUAAAGUCCCUCACUUUCGCCAUUGUCACAAGAACCACCUUCGAUGAUUCCACUAGCCCUUUACUUGCCAAUCUAUCACAUGAUUGUGUACCCUUUUUAGAGGUUGAUUUAGCCCAAUCUUCUACCAAUCGAGACCCUAAAAAUCCUUUGUUAGCCACACAUGUCCCUUACUCUUCUUUACCAAGAUCAAUAAUUGAUUCCAGUUGUAAAAUUGUUUACAUUUGUAGGAACCCUAAGGAUUCAUUCGUUUCGUUUUAUCACUUCAUUGCUAGGCUCUCGGCAUCCAAAGACAUGAAGCCCGUUGCUUUAGAAGAGGCCUUUGAGCUUUAUUGCCAAGGUGUAAGCAAUUAUGGACCUUAUUGGGACCAUGUUCUAGGGUUCUGGAAAGCAAGUUUGGACCGACCUGAUAAGAUUCUUUUCUUGAAAUACGAAGAAAUGAUAGAAGAUACUGUUUUAUAUGUUAAGAAAUUAGCUGAUUUCAUCGGUUAUCCUUUCUCUUCUGAAGAAAUCAAAAAAGGGUCAAUCGACAAGAUCGUAAGCAUGUGUAGUUUCAAGAACUUAAGCAAUUUGGAAGUGAAUAAAAGUGGCAAACAUCGUGAAGGAACUCCAGGGGUGAUUGAAAACAAGAUCUAUUUUCGAAAAGGUAAGGUUGGGGAUUGGGAGAAUUAUUUGACACCUGAAAUGGCUGCUCAGUUGGACUCGAUAACGUUACAGAAGCUAAAUGGUUCAGGCUUAACUCUGUGAUUGAAUCAUAAAGCAACCAUGGGGUACAUUGUCCCUUCUCUGCAAUUUCGACAUAUUGUGUUUCUAAAAAUAAUUUGCGUAUGCUUUUUGCAAGUAGCAACACUUCUCGUGUUGCUCAUGUUAAGAUCAAUAAAAAGUAUAAUUGGUUCAAUUGAAAUCGAUUCAAUUAAUAUAAUUUGAUAUAAGUGAUUUGAUUUUGUUAGUUUAAUUUUUAUGGAUAUACUACACCAACUGUCCUAAGCUUUGUAUCAAAAUUACAUUUCGGUUACCCAACUUUUAAAAUUUAUAUCAUAGUCACUAACAUUAUCAAAUUGUUACAUUUUUGUCACUCGACUAUUAACUUCUGUUAAAGAAGUAACGUUGCACCUUAAUUCAGAAGGUGUAACAGCCCAAUUUUUAGUAGUGUCAGAAUAGUGAUUUGAGAUCACUAAAAUUGAUGAAAAAGUUAGAAAAAUUUAUUAAUUAAUAAUUAUAAGUUAAGUGUGAUUUUAGAAAUAUUUUUAAAUCAGUGAAUUUUGUGAUUUAAAAGAAAUUAUUAGGUAAAUUGGGUUGAAAACGAGGUAUCGAGACCUUGAUAUUAUAAACUGAGCCGUAAAUAUUUAUAAAAAUAUUUACGGAGUGUCAACAGGAUAAUAUUAAAGUUUCGUUAAGAAAUUUUAACGCUUUGAUAGUUAAUUAUGAAAAAGGACUAAAUUGAAGUAAGGAUAAAAGUUUAAUUAUAGAUUAAAGAAAAGUUAAAGGACCAAAUAGGCAAUUAUGCCUUUUUCUAAAGUUGAGGCGGCAUAACAAAAGAAAAAUCUAAGAUAUUUUUAAUUUAAAAAUAUAUAUAUUAUAUUAUACAUGCGUAAGUAAUAAUUAUGUUUUUAUAUUAUAUUAUUAUUAAUAUAUUAUAUUAUAUUAUAUUAUAUUAUAUUAUUAUUAUAUAUAUGACAAAGAAAGAAAGAAAAGAAACAGAGAGCAAAACAAAACAGAGAAGGGAGAAAGAAAGAAACAGAGAGCAAAACGAAACAGAGACGGAAGGAAGGAAAGAAAGAAAGAAAAGAAAAGAAAAAGGGAAAUUUGGGGUUUUAAGGUUCAAAGUAAUUUGGUAAGUCAAUUUAAUCCCCUUUUCUCUUAAUUUUGAUAUUUUUUUUGAAAUCCUAGAGCAAAAUACUACUUGAUUUAAGUUGAAAUUUUGGAAGUUAGUAGAUUAUUAAGCAUGGUUCAUGUUGAAUAAAUUGUUAAAUUAGGGAUGUAUUUGAUAGAAAUUUUGAUUGGAAUUGAAUAAAGGAUUGAAUUGUAAACUAAACUAUAAGUUUUGAAUUUUAGGGAUUAAUUUGAAAUAAAUUCGGAAUUAUGAAAACAUGAUAAAAAUUAAAUAGUUAAAUAUGAGUUUAGUAAGAAAUUGGGUAGAAUAAGGGUAUGAAUUGAGAAAGAAAAAUAUAUAGGUUUAGUUAGGGGUUAAAUUGAUUUAAUUUCAAGUUAGAAGUUAGUAAAGAAUGUAAUUGUAAAAUAAAAUAUAAGUUUUGAAUCGAUAGGGAUUAAAUUGAAAGAAUCCCGAAAUUAGGGAUUUAUGGUGAAAUUGAGGAAUUAAAUUGACUUUAUAGUAAGAAUUAAGAGAGAAUAUAGAGUUAGAUUGGGAAAAAUAAAAUUAGUAUUGGUAAGGGAUUAAAUUAGAAUUUGGGUAAAGUUUAGGUAUAAAAGGAAAUAUUUUAAUGAAAUUGUGUAUUAAUGAUUUUUAAUUGUUUAAUUACGUAGCUAAUGUCGUGUACGAGUCAUUGUCCGAGAAAGGAAAGGAGAAAGUGGACAAGGAGUGACUCGAGAGAAAUUACGGUUAGUAUUACUAUAAUUCGAAUUUAAUUAUUAAUCGUUGAAAAUUAAAUUAAUAUACACGAUAAGCAAAUUGAGGUGAGUUUCAUAAUUGAAUUGAAUAAUAUAUAUACGUAUUGAUAUUGAAUUUAUUGACAGUAAUUAUUGAAUUUUGAAUAAUAUGUUAGUAAAUAAAAAUAAGGAGAAUAUCAAUAUUUAAUUGAAUGAAUUAAAAUAUGAAUUGAAUAAAUGAGAUAUUAAAUUGAGAUAUGUGAAUAUGUGAAUUGUGUAUUGAUUGAAAAGUGGUUUGAAUUGAAUCGAAGUAUGAUUAUAUGUGAAUAUCUGAAAUAUGUAUUGGUAUUGAAUUGUAUAUUGAUUUGAAAGUGGGAAGUGAAUCUGAGUUGAAUUGCGAUUAAAUCGAAAGUGAAUUUGAAAUAGAAAAAUGUAUUGAAACAAAUGGUGAUUAAAUGGGAAUGAUUUGAAUUGAAAGUAUGAGAAAGUGAUUGAAUUGAAAUGUGAUUCGGAAACCCUAUUAACUAGUCGGGCUGAGUCGGAUAUAGUUGGCAUGCCAUAGGAUUGGAAGAGUUCAGGGAUACUUCGACCUUGAGUCGAUGAGACACUGGGUGUCACUAUAUUUCUUCGGAUAGAUUCGAUGAGGUACUGGGUACCAACUUUACUUCGGCUGGGCCGAUGAGACACUGGGUGUCAACUAUUGCUUCGAACUAUCCGAUGAGGCACUGGGUGCCAUUUUGGUGUGUUUGGUUGGAUCCGUGUAUCCGCCAAGGUCCGAGUCUUGUUAAUAGGGGUAAAUAAUUGAAAUGAGAAAAUUGAAUAAAUGUGAUUGAUUGAGCUAUGGGAAGAAACGAAAAAGUGAAGUUGUGAAUUGAUGUGUGAAUUGGAAAUCGAAAUAAGAGAUUUAAAGAUAUGAGCCCAAAGUUCAUGAUGUGAUAAAGAGUAAAUUUUGUUAUAUGAUAUUAGUGAGUACAAAUUGCAAUAAAAUUUAUAUUGAAUAUAAAUUAAAUGAAAUGAAUUGUAUAUGAAUUGAAAUGAACUAUUGGAAUGAGAUGUAAAGAAAAAUCCGAUGGAAUUGAGAUAGUGAAAUAAGGUAUGAAUACAAUUAAAUACAAGAUUUGAAUUAUAGCUUAUUGUUAUUAAUUAUCAAGUUGAUUUAAUGCAUGAGAUAAUUAAUGAAUAAUUGUAGACAUAAAUAAAAUGUAUAUAAUUUAUCGAUUAAUGUUAUUAAUUCGAAUUAUGGUAAUACCACUGAGUAUUUCCAUACUCAGCGUACGGUUGUUUCCGUGCGUAGGUUAGGUCAAAGUCGGAUUGUUGAAUCAGCAUCCAAAGCCGAUUCUGAGCUAAUUGUGGUGGUGAACAUUUCUUUUAGUUAUGGCAUGUAUAGGAAUUUAGUAAUUUUGUAUAUUUGUAAAUAUGAUUUUACUAUAGAAUGAUGUGUAAGUAUUUGAUGAUGAAUGGUUGUUUAAAUGGUCAAGGAUGAAGUUAAUUAUUGUUAUAAAAGUCUAAGUGAUAAAUUAGGUAUGAAAAUCAUAAAAUGGUAAAAUUUUGCAAAGAAACAGAAUUCAGGCAGCAAUAGUGACGUAACUUUGAAAAAUCACCUAGGAUAGUAUAAAAUGAAUUAGAGGGUGAAUGAUAUAUGAAAUGAAAUAUUAUUGAGUCUAUUUUUAUAUAAAAAUAACGGUUUAGCAAAAAUAAAUUUAUAUUUUAAGAUAUGUGAAUUUUAGUGAGAAAUGGUCAGAUCUAUUUCUGGAGUCCCCUGUUCUGAGUUUAGAAAAUCACUAAAAAUGGUAUAAAAAUAUUUAUGAGUUGUAGUUUAUAUGUGUAGAAUCCUUAUUGAGUCUAUUUUCUGUAGAAAUAAGUGGUAAUAUCAUAUGAAAAUCCUAUAAUGAGAAAAUUUAUUUUUAGUACCAAGGGGUCAGGACAGUCGAGUGAAGAAACAGGGGAGAAUUUAACUAAUAAAAUGUAUUAAUUGGUCAAACCAAGAAUUCUUAAAAUUUUAUGGUAGAAAGAUAUAUGAGUCUAGUUUCAGGAAAAAUUUACGAAAUUAAAUUUGGAGUUCCGUAGCUCGAGUUAUAAUCAAUUUAGUAACUGCUGCGCGAUUGGACAGAUUACUGUAAACAGUGAAAUUAAUUUUUAAAACGAAUUUUUAUGCCCCGAAUUAGUAAGAUAAGCUAAGUAAUGCCUCGUACUCGAUUCCGGCAACGGUCUCGGGUAAGGGGUGUUACAGAAGGUUAAUAGUUAAUUUGGUACUUGAACUAUAGUUAAAAAAUUAUUUUCAUAUUUAAAAUUUUUUUUACAAUAAUUGUAAAAAAGUAAAAAAAAAAGUCUUAAAAAUAAAAUUCAUAUAAAAAACCAGUUGGAGCAAGAAACAACUAAGAAUUUUGCUACUGUCUUUGCUCUCUCUUUUUUUUUUUCUCUUUUUUUCAUGCAAGUCAACGUUGGCUCCGCUCUUCCCUAAUCUUUAAAAAUAAUAUAUAUAUAGGUUUUAUUUAUAGCUAAAAGUAAAAUAUUGACUUGAAAUUUGAGAGAAGAAAGGUGGGUUUGGAGAAGAAGAAUAGCACUUUGUAUUAUAAAUUUAAAAACAAAAACCCAAUCAGUGUAACACCCCAAAUCCAACCUGGACAUUAUGACCGAAUCUUGAAGGUUACAUUAACUUCUUGAGAAUUUAGAUUGUUAUUUUCUGAAAUUUCGACUUGUUUUUCUGUAAAAGUAAAUUCUUGUAAAAAACUUGUUUUCACUUAAUAGUUGCAAAAAAAAAAACCCAUUCUACAAUAAGUGUUUCUUUAAACAUUUGUUCUUUAGUACUAAAUUGAAAUAAUAGACCUACAGUGAAAUCGCAUAUUUUUCAGAAAACUAGAUUUCUCAUUUUGUUUUGCAGCGAAAAAACUUUAACUUGUUUAAUUUUGAAAAUCGAACAUUUUUUUAAUUAACAGAAAUCAUGUAGAAAAUUUAAACUAAUUAACUAAAAACUCAACGAUCUUAUGCAAGAAAACUAAUGCGUGUAACACCUCGACCCGCGUCCGUCGCCGGAUUAGAGUUACGAGACAUUACUAAACAAAGCACACAUUCAAAAACACAUAAAACCCAAUUUAAACAAAAUUAUCAUGAACAAGCCAUUUUUAAACCAAACCGAUCACAAGCAUGGAAAUUAAACCAUUUUCGCAUGGCUAUUUAUAUAUUAUGAUCCAAAACUAACCAAAAACAUAAUCAAGCUUAUACAUGCCAUAAGAUUGAGUUCAACUUUAACAAAAUACCAAAAGAAGUCGAUAGUGUGAUAGACUAUGCUGGUGAUUCCCGAGCUCGUAACGCGACUCCAAAAUCUAUAAAACAGAGGUAAACAAAAACACACACAGUAAGCUAUUAAAGCUUAGUAAAUCUAAAGCUUAACAAAUUAUAUAAAGAAUAAAAAAAACAAUUAAACAAGUUCUUGGUAUAUCUAUUGAAUUUUAAAAAAAAAUCACAUAUAUAUUGUCUUUUGAAUAUUUGCUAUUCAUAAUCCCCUUAUUUAUAAUCAAACAUAUGAAUUCACAAAAUGCAAAUCACUAAACUCAUAUAUAAAUAUAAACAAUAUGAACACCACCAAUUUAUAUAUAUAUAUAUAUAUGCAUUCGUCAAAAGUCCUACUUACGAAUGCAUUACAUAUUAUUUGUAUAUAAUCAUAUGCAUACGAAAUUUUCAUAAUUUAAAACUUAAUCUAUAUACAUUUCAAUUAUGAAUAACCGAAUGCUUAUGUAUUUGCACCUAACAAAUUAUCAUAACCAAAUGAAUAUACAUAUACAUCAAAUAAAUAUAUUCAGAUAUAAUCACAUUUACCAAUAUAUAUAUAACACCGAGUACAAACAUAUUCCUUAAAAACAUAUACCAAAUGCAUAUAUAAAUUUACUAUAUGCAUAUAACCAUAUAUAUAUAAUUUCAUAUAUAACAAGUGCAAUAAACCGUGUAUAUAUAUAAAUAUAUAUAUACUCUCCAAAUAUAAUAACAAGUAUUUAUCUGCUCGUCAAACUUAUUUAUCAAAUAUAUAUGCUUGAUCUUCAAAUAUAUAUAUUAUUGACAUAUCAUGUACAUAUUCAAUAUAUUGAAUCCAGUAAUAUAAUCACCGGUAUUUAGCCUGCUAGGUUGUAAAACCUGAUUUAAUACACCGGCUUUUAGCCUGCUAGACUUAUAGUCCGAAUAAUUUCACUGGCAUUAAGCCUGCUAGACAAUGAGUCUGAAUUAUAUCACCGGCAUCAAGCCUACUAGACAAUAAGUCUGAAUUACAUUCAAUCACUUUAUAUUAGUCGUUCAAACUAACAACCUCAUAUAUUCAUUUCCAUUCAAGAACUUUCGCAUGAAUAAAUUCACAUAAUCGAAACUUUCUUAAACAUAUAUAAGUUCCAUACCUAAAUUCAUUUCAAGAACAUAUAUGCAUAUACUUGCUUCAUCGCAUUUCAUAAUAUCUUACACAUAUAUCCUACCUAAAUUCGGAUUUAGUACCUAUUCAUGUAUGUAAACAUAUCCAAUCAAAUAUAGCAUAUACAUAUAUUUUCAACUCACACGUAAACAUACCUAUUCAAUACUACAUAUAUACUCAUGAAUUACAUGUCUUAAAUUAAUCCCAAAGGUUUAUACACGUAUAUACAUAUAUAUGUAUAUUCGAACCUUAUAUAAUAACAAGUUAUAAAUACCUUUGAAUCUAAACCAAGAAUUUAUACAUAUUCGAAUCUACCAUAUAAAUAUAUAAAUUCAUACUCAAUUUCAAAACAAGAACUUAUACAUAUAUAAUGACAUAUCUAAAUUCAAUACACAACACAUACACGUAUAUUUGCAUGCUUAUUCGAAUAUAUAUAUACAAUUAUAACAUACAUAUCACAAAUCAAAUCCAAGAGUUUAUAUAUAUAUUUAUAAUCAUUCGAACCUUAUAUAUAUACAUAUAUCUUAUACAUAUCUUUGAUUAAUCUAAUAUUUUAUACAUGUAUAUACUUAUAUACCGUUUAUACUUUAUCUAAAUUUAAAGGUUUAUAUAAGUAUAAACCUAUAUAUAUAUUAGAACUUUAAUAAUACAUGUAUAUCAUUCAUACUUUAUUUUAUUUCAAUCAAUAUGCUUUUAAAAUAAAGUUCAACAAAAUACAAUACAUUUACAUACCCAUAUACCGAUUUAAUAACAUUAAAUAGCUAAUAGACUUACCUCGGACAGUGAAAAAUUAAAAUCGAAUAAUUAGUCGACAAUUUUGGUUUUUCCCCGAUCUAGCUCCGAUUUCUUUGGUUCUUGAUCUAAACAUAUUCAAAAUGAGCUAGUUUAAAUAUUAUUAACUUCAAUUUAAUCCAAAAACACAUAAAUGGGAAAAUUACAAAUUUGCCCCUAAUAUUUUACAUUCAAAUUUUUACUAUACUAAGGUUAGGCCGAAUCUUCAUUAUACUCAUACAAGUCCAUGCAUUUCAUUUAUUUCGUAUUUUAGUCCCUCAAAAAUUUAUUUUCACAAUUUAACUCUAACUACUCAAUUUCACCAAAACUUCCAAUACAAAACAUAUUAAUCUAAAAUAUAUCUUUCAUUAUUCAUCAUCAAACAUCACAUAACACAAAUGUUCAUCAAUGGCACAACUCAAAAUAUUCAUCAAAAUUAAAAAUUCAAACAUGGGUCGGAUAGUAUUCGAAACAACGAUCUCAAAAACGUAAAAAUAUUCAAAAAAUCGAACAAAGAACUAACCUUAAUCAACAAUAGAAAUGCCGAACCCUAGAAAGCCAUGAAUAAAUUCCCAAAGUUUCCUUAUUCGGCCAAAGAGAUGAAAAUGUCUUAUAAUUUCUUUACUUAUUUUAAUUAUAAGAUAUAAUUUAAUAUUUUACUAAAUUAACCUUAUUAUAAUAAAUACUUAUAACAUAUAUAUUUUGGACAAUGUUGUCAUAUACCACCCACUAACUAAAUCUUGGUCUAAUUACAUCUUUAGACCUCCCACUUAAAAAGACAACAACAAAUAGGUGCUUUUAAAAUUUAACCUCUAACUUUUAUUUUACGCGAUUAAACCCUUUUCAUCGAAUUAAACCUUCAAACGAUUAAAUUUCCACACGAAUUUUUCACACCUAUAACUUAACAUAUAAUAAACACUAAAAAUAAUAUUAAAAUAUUUUUUGACUCGAAUUUGUGAUCCCGAAACCAUUAUUCCGAUUAGGGUCAAAAUCGGGUUGUUACAAUGCGAGCUCCCGAGUGCCGCCCAAUCCUAAUCCCGUGGGUUACCUAAAAUAUUAAGCAAGUGGGUGAGAUAAAAAGCUCAAUGUGUGCCUUGGCCCACACACAUAAAUCAUAUAAAAAAACAUGCACAUAUGCAAAUAGCAGAACAUACAAAAGAAAUGUUAUAACAUGCUUAGCAUAACAAAGUUAUACAUAUUAAUCCUAUCCCCAUCCACUACACACCAGCUCCAUCCAUCCAAUUACACCAAUUAGGGCUAUUAGAACCCAUCCAUCCAUCACACCAAAAUGUGGUCAUAUGCCAUUCAAAUGAUAGGUAGCUAUGUUGCCAUAAGUAUAUUGAGGAAAUACCACCAAAGUUAUUUAGUGCAAUUAAACUGCCAAAAUCAUACUGCCUCUAUCACAAAACCAUAUCCCACCCCAAUGCAUAUGCAAAGACAUACCUCAUGUUCAUAUAUAACCAUAAGAAUUAUGCCAUACAUAAGUAAGAGAUAACAUAAAAAAAAGCACACUAAUUAGCUUACUUAGAGCUUUCUUGAUCAGAAUCAUACUUAGGCUAAUAUACAUACACAUAGGUUUACGGAUUACAUGACCUAGAAUGCUUAUAGAAUAUUUGUACAUAAUGUUAUUUACAUAUCAGAGUCCUGAACUUAACAAAUCUCUUUCAUUUGGCUUGAAAAUGGCCCAAUUUAACAAUUCAAAGAAGGCCCACACGACUUACCUACCUAGAUCGUGUGGCCCACACACCCUACUUGAACAGGCCAUGUGACUUACACGCCCGUGUGGCUCACACAACAGAGCACACAGCUGUGUGGCUCACACAGCAGAGCACACGACUGUGUGGUGUCGUGUAACACCCCUAACCCAUGCUCGUCGCCAAAAUAGGGUUAUGGAGGAUUACCAAAGUUUUCAAAAUAAUUUCAAUUAAUUUAUAUCAAUUACUGUUCAUAAUUGAAAUUAAUUAUAAAUCCAUCAUACAACAAAAUUAACGUUCUAAACCCAUUUGAUACUUAUAAUUUAUUUCCAUACAUUAAUAUAGGCAAUAAAACAAUUCAUUUGCUUCAAUUUGGUCAUUUUGGAUAUUUUUACAAAAUUACCCCUAAAAUUUUGUUUUUAUUCAAUUUAGUCCCUGAGCCUAAAACAUGUAAAGUAGCUAUUUUUAAAAUAAGCUCAUACUAGAUGAAUAAUCACAUAUAUUUUCCUCCUCCUCCACUCCAUUCCACAUCCUUGAGAUAUAUACAUAAUACCACUAUUUACUUGUAUACUCAUAACAAGCUGUUCACUUGAGUCAUAGUCACUAAAUUAAUCAUAUCUUGAGCUACAAAAUUCUAAAUCAAGAUCCAGUUAAUGUUUUAGAAACUAGACUCAAAUAUAUUUCUACUAUAAAAAUUUCAGAAUUUAUGAUUCAGCCAAUAAGUACAGUAAAAUCUUCAAAUUUAUCCCCAUUCUGCUAUUCGAUAGCUUCGACAUUUCUUUACUAAAAAUUAUUUAUCUCUUAGUACAAAAUUCGGAUGAUGUUCCCAUUUAUUUUUCUUGAAAAUAGACUCAUUAAGAACUUAAUCAUACAAAUUUAAACCAUCCAAAUAUUUUUAUACAAUUUUUAAUGAUUUUCCAAAGUCAGAACAGGGGAAAACAAAAUCAUUCUGACCUUGUCUCACCAAAUUUAUUAUAUCUCAUAAUUUACUAUUCCAUUGCUUACACCGUUUCUUCUAUGAGAAACUAGACUAAUAAGCUUUAAUUCCAUAUUUUUUUAAUUCUUAAUUCGAUUUUCACAAUUUAUGAUGAUUUUUUAAAGUUAGCCUACUGCUACUGUUCAAAAAUUGUUUUAGUGCAAGAUGUUGAUUACCAAGUUUAUAACUCUCUUAUUCCCCUUUUCUAUAAUAUUUCCCAUCACUUUCUCUUAUUUCCCUUCACUAAUAUAUCAAGAACAUAAAACAUUAUAUAAGAAAACUCUACUAUAACAUAAUUUCCAUGUUUUUUCAAUAAUAUCAAACUUAAAAAAAUAUAUUGAAAUCUUGAUGUUCUUACCUUGUCCUAAUGAUUUCAACCAUUAACUUGAUUUUCUCUCUCCUCCAGCUUCUAUUUCUUGAAUCUAACUUGAUUUUCUAGCUACCCAUAGUCUCCUUCUUAUCUUUCUCUCUUGAUGGCUAUGGAAAUUCUUUUGAUUUCUAAGUGAAAAUGGUGAAUUUUUGGUGAAGGACCAAAUUGUAAAAAAAAAGUUUCUUUUUUCUUUUCUCCUCAUACGUUGGAAUGCAUGGGAGGUUGAUGAUGAUUCUUCAUCUUUCUUUUCUUAUAUAUACUAAAUAAAAUAAUAAUAAAAUAAUAAAAUAUCAUUUAAAAAUCAAAUUAAAAUAUGAAUAAACUAAUAUUUAUUUAUUUAAUCUAAAAUAUCUCCAACAUCAUCAUUAUGUUCUAGAUUUCUCUCUCUUCUAAUUGAUCAUUUUGUCCUUUAUGAUCUUUUAAAAUUCCAUCCUUGAGUCAUCACUUAAUUUGGUAAAAUUGCCAUUUAAUCCCUCAUAAUUCUUCACCUAUUUAAUUUGGUCUUAAUUCAUCCAUUUUCCUUAAUUUCUAGAUCAUUCUAUCCUUAAAAUAUUUGCACUAUUGGUCCUUCAACUUUUUCAUAUUUACAUUUUAACCUCUCAAAUUUGAGUAUUUACUCUUGAACAAUAAAACUUUUCUCACUUUUAUGAUUUAGUCCUUUCUUGAAUUAAUAUAUCAUAAUAUAUUUCCAAAUGUUGACAUAACUCAGAAUUUCCCUUUUUGUCACUUUAUUUCCUUAUUUUACUAUAUCAAGGAUAAUAUCUUACUAUAGAAAUUUUCAGGAUAUUACAUGUCGACUGCCACCUCCGGGCUUUCAUGCAUUUUUCAGUUUCCAUGAAUUUUUCAAAGUUUUUUCAGGUUAAAACACACACCUAAUUGCUAACAAAAGAUCGACGCUAUUGCAACUAAUUCAGUUUUGCGUACGACAACAAAAUCGAACCUAUUAGCAAGACCAAAUCUGAAUCUAGGCAUUCGGCACUUGUUUACUAAACAAAACCAGCCCCUAAUCUUGGGCAUUUGAUAGUUACCCAGAAAAAUAGCAGUCCAACACACCUAAUUCGUCGGAGGAAAGUUGUGCGUCUCACGAUCUUUUCCUAACAAAACCAAAAACAACCCUUUUAAAAAAACAAAUGGAUUACAAUUGCAAAAUAAAAAAAAAUAAAAUAUGAUACUAUACUGAAAAUAUGAAGCACGCAUGACUAGCAACAAGAACAGAGAAUUAGCAAUGACACUAAGAAGAAAUAAGGUCUGGUCGCAAAAAGAGAAAGUAACCAAAAUAUUGCCCAUGAAAAGGAAAAGCAAAGGAAGAAGAUGAAAAGUAAGAGGGGAAGAUUAUUCAGCAACAAAAGUGGAAAAACAAAGAAAAGAAAGAAAGUGGGAGAAGUGGGGGAGUUGGACGACAGGAAGGAGAGAAUUUUAGGGAUAUAAAAAUCAAUUCUAUUUUAGGCACUAUGGGAUUUGAAUUUGAAACUUAUGAGUAAGCUAAAGCCUUACCACUGAACCAACAAGCUCAUUCUUACUAACAACCCAUAAAAAAUUAAAGAUAACCUUAACGUGACAAGCUGGGUGUAGGAAUAAAAAUACUCAGAAUUCAAGGAAAAGGAAUCGAGCGCAGAACCUCAAGAACACAACCAAAACAUUUAACCACUGAACCAGAUCAAUUUACUUGACAUAAAUAAUUGCCCAGAAAUUAAAGAAUUUUGGGGCAUUAUAAUCAAUCUAGUUGAUGUCCACGGAACUAACUAAAAAUUUGACUAAGGCAAGUGUACUUAUAAAUUAAUAGUAUAGUUACGGUGAUCAAAGAUAUCGUUCCCACGAAGAUAAAAAGUACUAGUAAUUAUCGUCUUUUUAUUAUUUAACCGAUAAAUUCGAGUGAUUGAUUAACAACUAAAAUUAACUAAAUUUAUUAACUAACAAACAAAAAAAAGAACAAAACAAGAAAAUAAUCGAUUAACAACCAAGAAGCGAAACAAUACCUAGGAAAGAAUUCACCUAGACUUCAUCUAUCACUAUCAAUCUAAAUUAUGCAAUUUAUUUACUUAGUAUCUUGAUCCGUAGAAAUCCCUAAAUUAUGCUAAUAUCUGUUUCGAGAGUAAGAGUAACUGACUCUAGGUUGAUUAAUUGGAACUUCUUUAAUUUCUAAUUAAAACCCCUAUUAUCGCAUUAACUCGAUUUAUGGAUUCCCCUAUUAGAUUUGACACUAAUCUGGUAAAUUUAUGUCAUCCUACUCUUAAACAUGGUCUAUUCCUCCUCUGAUUUAAGCACAUCAAAUAUGAAUCAAUAAUUUAGAAAUAUCAAACCAAGAAUUAAGCACAUUUAAUUGAGAACAAGAAACUAAGUAUUUAUUGCGUAAAAUAAAAUCAAACGACAGAAUCCAUCAUAGGGUUCAUCUCCCUACGUAUUUAGAAAAUUAGUUCAUGUUUGAAAAUAAAAACAUUCAAGAUUUAGUAUAACCACAAGAAGUAAAGAAACUCAUGAUGGCUUCCUAAGAAAUCAAAUGCGAAUCUUCAAUCUUAACGAAAAUCUGCUUCAGAAUCCGCUUCAAUGGUAUUUUUCGAGUUGUUUUCUUGAAUAUUCAAUGGCGGCUCACUCCUAUCUUCUUAUUUUUGUCCUAUAUUCGUCUUAGAAUGCCCGAAAAGCCUAAAAAUUACGUUUUCCACUCUUUAGAGAGCAAAUCCGCACAAUCGACAUGGCUUACCACAUGGCUGUAUGGUAGCUCGUGUGGGUCACACGACCGUGUGGAAUGGGUCAUCCCGUGUGGCUCUUGUAGCUUGAUCUGAUUUUUGCUCCUUUUGCUGCUCAAUGCUCUAUUAAGCAUAAAAGCAUGAAUUUAAAGGAUUAGGAGUAUAAAAUUUACAAUUAACAUCGAAUAAACACCCAAAAAACACAUUAAGAAUGAGUUUAAAAACAUGUUACUUUUAACACCUAUCACUAGUAAUUGAAGUUAGAGAAAAAAGAGAUGAAUUUAAAAAAGAAGUAGGUUACUUUGUAUUAUAAAUUAAAAGAAAAAAAAUCUCAAAUUUCAAAAAAUUGAAACUUACAAAAAAACCCUAGACAAAUACAAUAUAAUAGAACCUUUUGCUCUUCUCUCUUGCCGGAUAGGCUGUUGAUGGUAGAAGUUUUUAUGAUUCCCAAAAAAGGAAGCACCAUUACAAGCCUAAAUUUUGUUUCUAGAAAAUUAGAGCAGCAACAAUCAAUCUAAUAAUUAUAAUUAGUUAGACAUUUCUAGAUAAUAAAAAAACUAUUACGUGCCAACAUUAUGAACUACUAACAAUAUAUAUUUAAAGGUUAAAUUUUUUAUACAUAAAACGAAUAUUUAGAAAAUUUUAAUUUAUGUCAAACUUGACAUGCAUGAUCUAUGUAACUCCCCUUAUUUUAUUUUUUAAGUAUUGUAUUAAUAAUUUUUAUCUUACAUAUUUUAUUUAUGUUUUUUUGGGUACAUGCAUAUUUUAUUGCCAAAAAUAAAAUCUUUAUGUUAAAAAUAAAAUUAAGGAUUCAAAACCAACUAUUUUGUCAAAUUAAAUUUAUAUUUGGUAAACAAAUGCAUUUAAUUUUUUAUUUUUUAUUUUUUUGCAAUUAUCAACAAAUUCUAAUACCAAAUCUUUUAAAAUAAUAUGAAAAUUUCUAGUGAUAAAUUUCUUGCAUGGGACAAAACCAUUACCGUCAUUAAGCACUAGCUAUGUUUUUUAAAAAAAAUUAUUUAGUCACUAUAAGUUGACUCCCAAUUCACGAAAUUAGGUGGUGGAUAUGAUAAAAUCUAACAUGCAUACAUAUAUGUUUAAAUCAAACCAUAGCCUCACUUCAAAUAACAAAAUAAAUUCUAUUAACUUGUAUUCACAAUAAAUUUGUUGACAAUUUAUAUUAUAUAUCAAUUUCGUUUGAAAUGUGAUCGGUGCUCCAUCAUCCCUCAAUAAAAUGUGUUUUAGUGAAAUCUUAUAAUGCAAUCUAUUAGGGAAGUUGUUGUUUCUCGUUCCAUGUAUCUGUUAGAGUUGUGUGACCCCAAUUCUAAGAGAUUGCUUGCAAGUCAAGUUAAACAAAAAUAUAUUUUCUUUCUAGAAGAUUUAGUAUUUAUUAGUAUAACAUAUUUAGCAUUUAUUAGUAUAGUUUAUUUGACUUACUAAUUUAGCCUAUAAAUAGGCUCUUUUACAAUCUUAGAAAAACACACCCAUUAGAUUAGAACUCAUAACACAUUCAGAGAAUUUUGUGUUUACGUUUUGGGGGUUCUUUGUUUUUUGGAUUUUCGGGGUUUAGUUUUAUCUCCAUCUUUUGUACUCUUCAUUCUUUUGCCAUUAUAAUAAAAUUAUCUUUGCCCGUGGUUUUUUAUCCUCUUUGGAGGGGUUUUUCCACUUUAAAUUUGUGUGUUCAUCUUCUCAAUUUCUUCUUCUAUUUUUACUUGUUUGUUGCUUAAUCGGGACGAUCCUAACAGUAUCGUUAUAACAGACAUGUUUCUUUUCUUGGGCCAUUGUUUUCGGCUCUAUAUAGGUUUUGAUUGCGCUAAGUUUGAUCCAUUUAAUUAUGGCAUGCUUGACAAAACAAUAGCAUGCGUCGAUUAGAGAUCUUAGUCACCCAAUCGACUUCCUUGAGGUGGUUUAAUAAGUAUGGAAGUCUUAUUAUAUCUUGAUGAUUAAAGUCUUACUUUUAAGAGAUAAUUAUUAGCCUUAUUCAAGGAGUUUCUCAAAGACUUAUUAGCUAUUUUAAAGGAGAAUAUUUUGUUGCUUUCUAAGCCUAUAAAUAGGCGACAUAUUCCCUUGGGAAUGGUAAAAUUUUAUAAGUUGAUUUCUUCAGAAAGUGUGUGCAACUUGUGUUUCGAUAAGCUUGUGUUUUUCUUUCUUCAUUUGAUUAUCUGCUUAGUUGAUUAAGGUGUUUGUUACACCUAGUCGAAUCACUAUUGAGUGACCAUUGUGAGUUGUGGGAUUAUUAGUUCUUUUUCAAGGUUGUGGUAGGUGCUAUAAGUAACAAGCUUUAGUUUUAUUCUUAAUGUGUUUUUGGGUGAUUAUUUGAUAUUAAUGGUGAAUUUUAUGCUCCUAAUCCUUUAAAUUGAUGUUUUUAUAUUUAGGAAAGCAUUUGAGAGCAAAAGGAGCGAAAAACAAGCAAAAAUCAGAAAAUCGGAGCAAGUUACAAGAGCCACACGGGUUGGACCAUUCCACACGGCCAUGUGGCAAGCCAUGUUGAUUUCAUAAUUUGCACUCUAAAAUUGCGGGGAAACGUGAGUUUUAGGUUUUUCGAGCUUUCUAAGAUAUAUAUAUGACAAAAAUAAGAAGAUAAGAUGAGCUGUCAUAGAAUUCUCAAUAAAACAACUCGAAAGACACCAUUGAAGCGGAUUCUGCAGUAGAUUUCCAUCAAGAUUGAAUAUUUCCUUUUGAUUUAUUUGGAGAUUAUUAUGAGUUUCUUUGUUUCUUGUGGUUAUAUUGUGUUUUGGAUGUUUUUAUUUUCAAGCAUGAACUAAUUUUCUAAAUACCUAGGGAGAUGAAACCUGUGAUGGAUUCUGGUGUUUGAUUUUUAUUUUACACAAUAAAGACUUAGAUCUUAUUCUCAAUUAUGUGUGCUGUUCUUAAUUAUGUGUGUUUAAUUCGCGAUUUAAUAUUUUUAAACUAUUGGUCCAUGUUUGAUGUGCUUAAAUCAGAGGAGGAAUAGACCCUGUUUAAGAGUAGAUCUAGCGUAAAUGAGUGGAGUUGCAUGCAAUCCUAGAAAUAAGAUGAAAUAAAUCUACCAGAUUAGAUUCAAAUCUAAUAGGGGAAUCCAUAGAUUGAGGUAAUGCGAUAAUAAGAGCUUUAAUUAGAAAGAAAUUUUAAUUAAUCAACCUAGAGUUAGUUGCUCUUAUUCUUAAAGAGAGAUAUUAACAUAAUUUAGAGAUUUCUAUGGAUCAAGAUACUAAGUGAAGAAAUUGUGUAAUUUAGAGUGAUAAUGAUAGAUGAAAUCUAGGUGAAUUCUUUCUUGGGUAUUGUUUUGCUGCUUGGUUGUUUACUCCAUUAUUUUCCUGAUUUGUUCUUUGUCGCGUUCGUAGUUAAUUAAUUUAGUUUAUUUUAGUUUUCAAUCAAUCAUUCGAAUUUAUCGGUUAAAUAAUAGAAAGACAGUAAUUACUAGUACUUUUAGUCCUAUGGGAACGAUAUCUUUGCUUACCAUAGCUAUACUAUUAAUUGAUAGGUGUACUUGCCUUAGUCAGAUUUUUAGUUAAUUUUGUGGACAUCAGGCUGUAUAUGCUUGCUUGGAGAAAAAGUUGUGAGCUUUAGGCAAUAGGGAAGAAGUGUACUCUUGAAAUAGUUGGUGAUUGGAUAAAAAAUCUAAGCGAGACUCCACAAAUGUAGGACUAUUGUGUCUAAACUACAUAAACAAAUAUUGGAUGUGUAGCUUCUUUUCUUUUAUUGUUUUUCAUUACGCUACCUUUUUCGUUCUAAUUGUCGUUACAACGAAGUCUAAGCAAAUUUGAUUAAUCGUAUGUGUAAAUUACUAAUUAAUUUUCAGAAUCAAACUUUUUUAUUCAAUCAAUCAAUAACUAUAUUAGGAGAAAUAUGACCAACAUAAGUAAAUGGAAAAAAGCUUCAACCCUUAAGUGCAAUUUUUAAUUCAAUCAGUCUAAUAAAUCAAUCCUAUUUAAAUAAUAUUGAGUAUGAUUUAGUCUACCCCUCUCAAUCACCCAAAUAACCCAACUCUCCCUCCGGCACAUACUCAAAUAACAGGUAAAUCAUUUUCCUAAAAGAGAUUCACAAAAUCCACUUUUUUUUUGUUUAAAAUAAUCAUAUAAUAUAUAAUAUGGUCAAACAUUUCUAGAUGAUUCAGCUUGAUUUUCUCACACUUACAAAUUUAAAUUUUAAUGACCAAUGUUUAAUCAUUCUAUUAGUCCCUAUACUGUAUGGAAGCAUUCAAUUCAAUCUUUACAUCUCAAACAUCCUUAAAAUAUCUACAUAAAUUUAUGGGUGGGUGUUCAUAAGUUUAAAUUAUAGUUAAUUUCAUAUCCUAAAUAAGCAAAUGGCUAAAUACCCAAAUGAUAUUAUCACCCAUAAAUCAAUUUUUUUUUUUUGAAUGUAUCACACAUGAAUCAAAAUUAUUUACUUUGUUUUGUUGCCUCCAAAGCAACCCUUCUCAAUUCAAAAUUCAAUAAUAUAAUUAAAUUAAAUGGAAAAAAGAAUUAGAUAGUAAACCAAGAAGAUUAGUCACUAAACCAACAAAAUUAAUAAAAACUAAACAAUUUAAAGUAAAAAAGGAACAUGCAAAAGUAGUUUGAAAUUAAAAUAAACAUAUAAAAAAAUUAAAAAGAAAAACACUCACCAAAAGAACAAGAAGAAGAAGCAACCUUCCACACUUGUAAAACAUUUUCUACUAAAAAGAAAAGAAAAUUAAAUAACACCUUAAAACUAGAGUUACCUCAUGGCCAUGCUGGUUCGAGUUUAAAUCGGGUCUAAACAUUAUAUUAAUAUAUUUUAUGCUUGUCUAAGCUUGACCCGAUCUAAAAUAUGAGUCUAAAAUUUUGUUUAAGUUCUUCUGUCUUUGCAAAAGAUUAACUCAAGCUCAUUUUAGGCCCGUCCAUAUUAUUUUUAUUUUUAAAAAAAUAUUUAUAUUAUAUUAAUUUUAAUUUUAUAUAUUUUUAUUUAUUGAAAUUUUUUAUAUAAACAUCUUAACAUUAUUUUAUGUUUACAUUAUAAUAGUAUUAUAUAUUUAGUAUAGGUUCUUUUAAUGUGUUAUAAAUUAAAUAAUAUAUAAAAAUAACAUAAUAUAAAACAUUAUAAACUUAAAAAUGGGCCGAGCUUAGGUCUUCAAUAUUUAAACCCAAGCCUGAACUAUAUUUUAAAUGGGCCUAAUUUUUUUUCUAAGCCCAUUUUUCAGGUCUAAUAUAUUUAUCCAAACCUUCCCAAAUUUCAGUCGGACUUUCAAACAUGGACAAAUAACUCGACCCAUAAACAAAACAUGGAAAACACAACAAACAUAAUCUUGACCAACAUAAAGCCCACCAAUUUAAAUGACCCAAUCACCCUUCAAAAACCUAUCAAUACCUUCAUUUACUUAGCUUAAAAUCAGAUCAUCUAAAUUCCAAAUUAAGGCCACUCAAUGCAUAAGGUUAACUUUAAAGGAGUUUUAUAGAUGUGAUUUAAAAGCACUAAAAUCACAUGGAUGAAUUACAAAAAUUUUAUUGUGUACUCACGAAAUAAAGUAACUUUAUUUACAUAGACCAAUUUUUAUCAAAAUAUUUGCACUCAUAUCCCUUUUUGUUUUUUCUUAUGAAAAUGUCUUCGUUUAAAGAAAUCAUAUCAACGCGUCCAAAAAGAAAAUGUAGGGAUGAUUAAGUAACAAUUUGUUCCAAUACCAAGGCUUUUGGUACUACUUGCUUUUCUUCGAAAGAGUGAUGUUAGCUCAACAACAAUUCUAUUCUCAACGUUUCGACAUCAUGAUAUGCAGUGUGCCAAAAACCAGGACAACAUAGUUAAAGUCCCUCACCUUUGCCAAUAUAACAAGAACCACAUUCAAUGAUUCCUUUAACCCUUUACUUACCAAGCUAUCACAUGAUUGUGUACCCUUUUUAGAGGUCGAUUUAGCCUAAUCUUCCACCAAUCGAGAUCCAAAAAAUCCUUUAGUAGCCACACAAAUCCCUUACUCUAUUACCAAGAUCAAUAAUUAAUGCCAAUUGUAAAUUUGUUUACAUUUGUAGAACCCUAAGGAUUCAUUUGUUUCCUUUUAUCAUUUUGUGGUUAGACGUUUAGCGCCUAAAAACAUUAAACCUUUCCUUUAGAAGAGGUCUUUGAGCUUUAUUGCCAAGGUGUAAGCUUUUAUGAACCUUAUUGGGACCACGUUCUAGG
RNAcentral lists this long non-coding RNA (23038 nucleotides) under Gossypium barbadense (sea-island cotton). RNAcentral describes it as "long non-coding RNA (GBAR_LNC013810)". Lineage: Eukaryota; Viridiplantae; Streptophyta; Magnoliopsida; Malvales; Malvaceae. The record is from RNAcentral.